This 22-nucleotide small nuclear RNA is filed under the name Arabidopsis thaliana (thale cress). RNAcentral describes it as "snRNA_08421". The record is from RNAcentral. Lineage: Eukaryota; Viridiplantae; Streptophyta; Magnoliopsida; Brassicales; Brassicaceae.
UUUGCUCUCUUAAAACUUGAAA